UACAGAGGGUGCAAGCGUUGUUCGGAAUUAUUGGGCGUAAAGGGCGCGUAGGCGGUGCGGUAAGUCACCUGUGAAAUCUCCGGGCUUAACUCGGAGCCUGCAGGCGAAACUACCGUGCUGGAGUGUGGGAGAGGUGCGUGGAAUUCCCGGUGGAGCGGUGAAAUGCGUAGAGAUCGGAAAGAACACCAACGGCGAAAGCACUCUGCUGGGCCGACACUGACACUGAGAGACGAAAGCUAGGGGAGCGAAUGGG
RNAcentral lists this ribosomal RNA (253 nucleotides) under uncultured prokaryote. RNAcentral describes it as "partial 16S ribosomal RNA". It matches the Rfam family "Bacterial small subunit ribosomal RNA", at positions 524 to 776 of the family's 1533-position model. The record is from RNAcentral.